Long non-coding RNA from Prionailurus viverrinus (fishing cat), 286 nucleotides. RefSeq lists it as uncharacterized. NCBI's taxonomy places the organism in Eukaryota, Metazoa, Chordata, Mammalia, Carnivora, Felidae. The record is from RefSeq and is a predicted model, not a curated record. The transcript is spliced from 3 exons.
AAAAAAAAUAUAUUCUCCCAGGUGGACAGACUCAGGUUGUAGUAGAUGCAGGAGCACUUGAGGUCUUUCCCAGCCCACUAACAAACCCCAAAACUAACAUUCAGAAGGAAGCUACAUGGACAACGUCAAACAUCACAGCUGGUCACCAGGACCAGAUACAGCAAGUUGUGAAUCAUAGAUUAGUUCCAUUCCUCAUUGGUGUUCUCUCUAAGGCAGACUUCAAGACACAAAAGGAAGCUAUAUGGGCUGUGAACAAGUAUACAUGUGGCACUGGCUCUUACACACA